UGGCCGUCUCGCAAGAUUUCUUUUGAAUCAAUUUCUUGUACCAUAUACAUUCCUAAUUAGAUAAUCAUAUCCAUUUUUUGCAAUAUCGUUGAUACGGCGAGACCUUUUAGGUGCAUUAGGAAGAAGGUGCCAAUGAAGACAUUUGUGAUAUUUUUCCUAAUCAUGAAUAAUUGGUAAACGGCAAAACUCAUCAGAAAUUUCUGGGCGAAUAGCUUUGCAAUAGAGUUACCUUCUCUAACAUUAAGAAUUUACCCAAAAUGUUGAACUGAAUGAUAAUGGUUUGAAGAUUUGACGCCCACCAAUGGAAUUAUGUAUGUCUUAUUUUUACUACUUUUUGCUACUCAGUCCAGAAGUCGCAGUUGGUACAAUUCUCGUGUGCAACAUAGAGCAGGAAGCCGAGAAAAUGUAAUCACUUGGCCAGGAAACAGUUCUCCGAAAACUGAACCAUUUUAUCAACCCUCCUGGACAUGCAGACAGUGUUUUCGUUGAAAGUGUCAGUAUCCCGUGAAUUUUGAAUCCGACAACAUGUCCUCUAACGUUGAUCACCCUGAUCCCGAAAAAGUGAAGGAGAUCACUGGCAUCGAACCCGCCGAGUGUCCCGGACGAGAUGAGACACUCUCAGCGAUCCAAAACCAUAAACGAGAUUCCCUGAAAAAGAUUGUGACAGUGGAAAAGAACAGUUUGCCGGACAAAUCUCAGAUUGAGGCUGAGAAACGGGCCUCCGUCUCGGACGAAUGAUAUGAUUUCCAUUAUCGUACACAUUUUCGACUUUACGUGAUUUUCCUUGUGGGAAUAUAACAAAAUGAAUGAACGGCAUAA
Tigriopus californicus is the source of this 819-nucleotide long non-coding RNA. RefSeq lists it as uncharacterized. The record is from RefSeq and is a predicted model, not a curated record. The transcript is spliced from 2 exons. NCBI's taxonomy places the organism in Eukaryota, Metazoa, Arthropoda, Copepoda, Harpacticoida, Harpacticidae.